Long non-coding RNA from Lytechinus pictus (painted urchin), 3850 nucleotides. RefSeq lists it as uncharacterized. NCBI's taxonomy places the organism in Eukaryota, Metazoa, Echinodermata, Echinoidea, Temnopleuroida, Toxopneustidae. The record is from RefSeq and is a predicted model, not a curated record. The transcript has 3 exons.
UCCGGUUCCGCCAUUUGAAAAAAAACGUUCGUAACUGCUCAGCUGAACCCGAAGCUUGAUGAAGAAGGCCGUCAAUAUUUCAACAAAAACUAACAGAAUAUGGAUCAGAUUCGGACAACGACUUCUUAAGACAUUCACACAACAGGCUAAACAAUUCAAAGAGGGAUCUCUGGAUGAUCGAGCAGCAAGUCCAGCAUUAUGUGGGAAAGAUACUACAGGUGUACACAGAAAAGGCCAUGUUCUUGUACAAGACACGGUUGGAGUUCAUAAAAGAUUAAGCUGCCUCGUGCUAUACAGACUUGGAUAAAAACAAGCUGUCCAAUGAAUGGUGACUACUCAAGAGGAGCCAGAAAGUCAACUAAAGCCAGGGUAUUUUGGGAGUUGAUAUGGCCGGGGAAGGGGGGAGGGGGGGUUUCCAGGGCCCCCCCCCCCCUUCCUUGAGAUCUUGACCGCACAAUCGCGUCUAACAUUGGCACAUGGGUUGUCUAGGGCAUAAUUUACAAAAUUAAAUUGUAAAUUAUUUCACGCAAAUUGUUAGUAAGUGAUAAUACUAAUUUAUGCGUAAUUAGAAUACAAAAUCAUACUUUUUCCUCUAUUGCAUUGACUUUGUACACAAAAUCACGUUUUUGAGCAAUUUUUGGUAUGACAUGUACUUACAUAAUGUCACGUUAUUACAGAACCACGUACCGGGUGACACAAGAUUGGUCUCAAAAGAUGCACAAGACUAGAAAGAGGCAUGUUUUAAAAAAAUUGUGCGACAGCAUGGUCGCAAAAUUUUUGGAAGGGGGGGGGGGUCAAAUUGGUCCAAUUUAACUAAGGGUUAAUAACUGGGAGGCUGUUAGCUGCCUUUUUACUUUCAAGUCUUGCACAUCUUUUGAGACCAAAUUUGUGAUGCCUGGGUACACUGUUCCGAAAUUUCGCAACAUUUUUAUGUAUUAAUCCAACACAAAUACUGUUUCUUGCUAAAAAUUCACAAUUAGUAUACCAGUAAUAUACAUUUAUCAAGUCAAAUUAUUUAAUUACAUUUAUAAUCAUAAAAGCUUUGAUAAAGUAUAAAAAAAAACAAAGAGUUGUAUGUAGGCCUGGGACUUUCGGGUUUUUUCUCUUCGGGUACCCGUGGUAAUUUUCGGGUGGGUACCUGAAAAUCAUGUCACUUGAAAUAUGACUGGUGGAAAAACCCCAUAGGUGACGUCAUCAAGCCAAUGCGAUGCAAGCCAAUUUAUGAAUGAAAAUAUAGUAAGCAUGCGCAUUGCAAGCCUCCCGUGCCCCACGCAGUAUUCCAUCGAAACAAGUUUCAAUACUCUGUCACCUCGUACCAAAAUCGACCUAGAAUUCCACUUUCCUAUAUAUCAUAUGAAUUAUAAAAGGUUUUCUCACCGAUACUGCACAGGUAAGCAAAUUUUUAUUCUUGCUUUUCCGUCAAAAUCUUACGAAGUAGCAUCGAUAUUACAUCGUGUUCGUGAGUUUGUAUCGCUACGUGAACAAAGUCAAUUGAUUUCCGGGUUUCGGAGCGUCAAAUGCGCCAGCCAAUCACGAUCGUGUUCCCAUUUUCGGUUUAUGAUGAACUAAAAAUGGUAACAAGAACGUGAUUGGCUGGUGCUUCGUAGGUCGAUUUUGGUAUGAGGUGACAGAGUAUUGCAGACUUGUUUUGACGUAAUACUGCGUGGGGCUGAGGCUUGCAAUGCGCAUGCUUACUAUAUUUUCAUUCAUAAAUUGGUUUGCGUCGCAGUGGCUGGAUGACGUCACUGCGCUGCAAAAGAAACAUGGCGAUGAUUGAACGAUCUCGGUCACAUCAUCAUCACUUGAAAACUUGUAUAUUUAUGGAUAUUUAGAGGGUAAUUGGUGAAAUUCAAAAUGAGGCUUGUGUACUUUUGUAAUGAGUUACAAUCAUGUCUUACACUACGCAAUACAAAUCAAAUACAUGUACAUUAUACUGGUGAGCAAUUUUCGGGUAUCGGGUAUUGAUUUUUCUACUCGGGUACCCGGGUUUUAGUCCCAGCCCUAGUUGUAUGAAAAUUUUCAAAAAUAAUGAAAGGUAAAAGAAAACAAGAUUACAAUGUCCAUUGCAAGGGGGCUAGUCUAGCUAUUCAGGAUAAUUGGGAUUUUAUUCAGUUUUUAAUUGACAUAACAUUAUGACAAGAUCCCUCCAUUUAGUGUAUAAACAGCACAUGGCCAUGAUUGAAAUUCAUAUAACAUUAAAGUAUGCAAACCAGGCAGCUACAUGUACAUGUAGGACUCACUGCUUGUCAAUUCUAUUGUCUGCCAGGGUCAAGUGACAUACAGUGCACAUGUAUAACAUGUGUGAAAGUACAUAAGAAAAUCAGCUUUUUAUUUUUGUACUGUAACAUUGGGUGAACUGGUGAUCACUUUGGAUAUGAUGCUCUUCAUAUUGGUUUAUUUUAUGUAUAUGAAUUUUUGGAUAAUCAUUAAGAAUUAAAGCCAUUUACUUAAUAUAUGGAAGCAUAAGCCCAUCAAAGAACAGAAUUAUGUCAUGUACAGCUAAUUCAUUUUGCGUGAUAUUACAAUUGUAAUUGUUUACUUGAGCAAGUAAUUUGAAUUGCUGCAUGACCUAAACAAUGACAUGUUCCAAUUCGAAUAGUAACAUGACCUAAAGAAGAGUUACUCCACCUCGAUUGAGAGUGCUUAUGUUAAAUAAUUGAUGUUGCUACUUCAAAUAAUUGAGGUCAAUCAAAUUGGUCAUAAUUAUUCAAGUCAAUUUUGAGCUAUAUGUCAUAAUUAAUUAGGUCAUAUACUAAUUGAAAUUACUAAAUGACUCGAGUAGGUAUGAAUUCACAUUGCCACAUGACCUUAAUUAUUUUAUGUAGCAACAUCAAGUAUUGAACGUCAUUUAGUUAUCAAUUAUGACAUGUAGCAAAUCAAAUUACAUGCCGCAAUUUCGUGUUUAUGAUGGGCUCAUGCUUACAUUCAUAUAUAACCCUUCAAUACGUAGUUGGAGCAAUUCUUAGACAAGAAGACUGUGUAAAAUGAUAUGCCUAUUCAAUGUCAAAAAGGUUAAUGUCUCAAUAGAUUUGAUCUACGUUUUGGCAAAGUAAUCUUAUGUUCAUAUUUUUUCUAACCUAUGGUGAACGUUCUAAAUCAUGUGAAAUUCAUUCAAAAAUAUCUUUCAGUAUUUAUGGACUUAAGUGAAUUCUGAGCAAAAUGAAGUGAUUAUGAUUACGUUCAUGUACUUUAAGUUUAUACUGGUGAUCAACACAUCAUAAUUUCAUCCCUUACUGUAUGUGCACCAUGCAUUAUCUGUACAUGCAGAAGUGGUUAUCCAUUGUUUCAUAACAUGGUUGAGUAAAGGAUGUUCUGCUUUUAGUAUUAAGCCAAUCGGGUGUUGACAAGAAGGGGAAAAUGCAAUUGCUCAGCUAUUACAGUUUUUUUUGCAACCAUAAUACUGGUUAAGCCUUGGUUACAUUCGCCGGCUCGUGGCCUUACGUCGAGUCAAAAUUAACAGUCUUAAUCAUCCUUGUACCAGCUACUACCAGCUACACGUGGGUGGUUUGUACAGGAAUACCUAAAACUGCUGAUUUUGUCUCGCCGUAAGGCAACCGGUCAAGGAAUGUGACCAAGGUAUUAAUAAUAAUCGCUUAUUGUUGUGUUAGAGGGAAGGAUUCUGGGUCGAAUCUAGCUUUCUUUAUGUGAUCUCAAAAUGGCAGCAAUGUAUGAAUAGUGAAAGUAGUUCAUGUGGCAUCUCAAUGUUCAUGGAUAUAAAUCUUUGUACAUGUCUUAUCCUAAAGAUGAAAUGUUACUGCAUUAUUCUAGCAGUCAUUUAUGAUAUCAAAGAUGUUCUAUACUGUGCAUAGUACAGCUCAUACAUAAUAAAGGUAUGUGAAUAUGCUUUUAA